Molecule: ribosomal RNA, 253 nt
Filed under: uncultured bacterium
Lineage: Bacteria
Description: partial 16S ribosomal RNA
Rfam family: Bacterial small subunit ribosomal RNA
Source: RNAcentral
GACGAACCGAGCGAACGUUGUUCGGAAUCACUGGGCUUAAAGGGCGCGUAGGCGGGUGCUCAAGUCCGGGGUGAAAUCCUCCAGCUCAACUGGAGAACUGCCUCGGAUACGGGCGGCCUCGAGGGGGGUAGGGGCAUCUGGAACUGUGAGUGGAGCGGUGAAAUGCGUUGAUAUUCACAGGAACUCCGGUGGCGAAGGCGAGGUGCUGGACCCCAUCUGACGCUGAGGCGCGAAAGCCAGGGGAGCGAACGGG